This 465-nucleotide ribosomal RNA is filed under the name uncultured bacterium. RNAcentral describes it as "partial 16S ribosomal RNA". It matches the Rfam family "Bacterial small subunit ribosomal RNA", at positions 28 to 507 of the family's 1533-position model. The record is from RNAcentral.
GACGAACGCUGGCGGCGUGCUUAACACAUGCAAGUCGAACGGAAAGGCCCUGCUUGUGUGGUAUUCGCGUGGGGCGAGCGGGUGAGUAACGUGGGAGUUACCUGCUGCUCAUUGGGAGAUGACUGGGAAAAAGGGUCUCAUAUAGCAUAGAAGAGCUCCUUCGUGUGAGGGUUGGAAAGAUUUUUUGGUCUGGGAUGGGCUCGCGGCCUGCCUGCUUGUUGGUGGGGUAAUGGGCUACCAAGGCGGGCUCGGGCAGGCGGCCUGAGAGGGUGGACGGCCACAAUGGGACUGAGAUACGGCCCAGACUCCUACGGGGAGGAACAGUGGGGAAUAAUGCACAAUUGGCGGAAGCCUGAUGCAACGACGCCGCGUGGGGGAUGACGGGCUUCGGGUUGUAAACUCCUUUCGGCAGGUGCGAAGCUGUUAGUGACGGUACCUGGAAAAGAAGCACCGGCUAACUACGUG